GUAUAGUCAAGAUACACAUAACAAUGCAUUUCCUUCGGAGAAGAUUAAAUCAGGUGGAAAUAGGACGGCAGUAGCCGGGAAUAAGAAAUGCAGGUAGCCACAUGAUAUCUCUCUGAAGAUGCAUGCCAGCUUCCUGGUAGCAUCAUCUUUUUGUAGCAUAUAAUAAAUCUUGAAUUUCAGGUAACCAAACGGCCAAACCUGCUUGCAUCAGCCACCCUGAAACCGCAUACAUCAUUCAGUUUCAGUACACCACUACUCCGUAUAAGCCAAGGAAAGAAAGAAAAAUGAACGCCACGCCCGAGGUCUUGACACUGCAUGUGCUGAAUGC
This 328-nucleotide long non-coding RNA is filed under the name Hordeum vulgare. Its description in RNAcentral is "long non-coding RNA (HVUL_LNC005150)". The record is from RNAcentral. Lineage: Eukaryota; Viridiplantae; Streptophyta; Magnoliopsida; Poales; Poaceae.